Molecule: ribosomal RNA, 146 nt
Filed under: Armillaria sp. 5 TG-2016
Lineage: Eukaryota; Fungi; Basidiomycota; Agaricomycetes; Agaricales; Physalacriaceae
Description: partial large subunit ribosomal RNA
Rfam family: Eukaryotic large subunit ribosomal RNA
Source: RNAcentral
UUGACCUCAAAUCAGGUAGGACUACCCGCUGAACUUAAGCAUAUCAAUAAGCGGAGGAAAAGAAACUAACAAGGAUUCCCCUAGUAACUGCGAGUGAAGAGGGAAAAGCUCAAAUUUAAAAUCUGGCAGCUUCGCUGUCCGAGUUG